AUUGAACGCUGGCGGCAUGCUUUACACAUGCAAGUCGAACGGUAACAGGCCUUCGGGUGCUGACGAGUGGCGAACGGGUGAGUAAUGCAUCGGAACGUGCCCAGAGGUGGGGGAUAACGCAGCGAAAGCUGUGCUAAUACCGCAUGUGAUCUGAGGAUGAAAGCGGGGGACCAAGCAGCAAUGUUUGGCCUCGCGCCUCUGGAGCGGCCGAUGUCAGAUUAGGUAGUUGGUGGGGUAAAGGCCUACCAAGCCGACGAUCUGUAGCUGGUCUGAGAGGACGACCAGCCACACUGGGACUGAGACACGGCCCAGACUCCUACGGGAGGCAGCAGUGGGGAAUUUUGGACAAUGGGCGCAAGCCUGAUCCAGCAAUGCCGCGUGCGGGAAGGAGGCCUUCGGGUUGUAAACCGCUUUUGUACGGAACGAAAAGGCUCUGGCUAAUACCUGGGGCUGAUGACGGUACCGUAAGAAUAAGCACCGGCUAACUACGUGCCAGCAGCCGCGGUAAUACGUAGGGUGCGAGCGUUAAUCGGAAUUACUGGGCGUAAAGCGUGCGCAGGCGGUCUUGUAAGACAGAGGUGAAAUCCCUGGGCUCAACCUAGGAAUGGCCUUUGUGACUGCAAGGCUGGAGUGCGGCAGAGGGGGAUGGAAUUCCGCGUGUAGCAGUGAAAUGCGUAGAUAUGCGGAGGAACACCGAUGGCGAAGGCAGUCCCCUGGGCCUGCACUGACGCUCAUGCACGAAAGCGUGGGGAGCAAACAGG
This 761-nucleotide ribosomal RNA is filed under the name uncultured Tepidimonas sp. RNAcentral describes it as "bacterial SSU rRNA". It matches the Rfam family "Bacterial small subunit ribosomal RNA", at positions 28 to 776 of the family's 1533-position model. Lineage: Bacteria; Pseudomonadati; Pseudomonadota; Betaproteobacteria; Burkholderiales. The record is from RNAcentral.